UAUUUUUAAAUACUGUCACAGUGUUUUUAUCAAAGACAUAUUACGCCAGAAAUUCUUUUGCAAAGAUCUUCUAAACUUAGAAUAUAACCGGGAAAUUAUAAUAGCAGUACUGACCUUGCUCUUAAUGUUGCUGGCGAUGCGAUUAUCUGGGUAUUCAUUUGAAAAAACCGACACGCUGUCGAGAGAUGUGUUGAUCGGUUUUUCAAUUUUUGUUGCAUGUCUUAUGGUGGUCUUGUGUUGCAUAUGGUUGAAUGCAAGGCUUAAGGAGAUUAAAGAAAGAAUAUCAGCCAGCAGAGGGAGGACAAGUACAACGAGUGGAACGCCAUUUCAGUUGUCUAAAACGUAUACGUGGAAAAGUUGUACUUUUGAAGCAUGUGCAGUUCAUGCUGCAAAGUUUAAGAAAGGUCAUCGAUACGACACGUGCCCUAUAUGCCUAGAGGAAUUUGUUAAUAAAGAAAAGUUAUGGAUUUUACUUUGUGAACAUGAGUUCCAUGUUGAUUGUGUAAAACCAUGGUUAAAAAAGAGAAAACAGAAUUGUCCCAUGUGCAAAAGAAUGGUUAUUAUUAUGCCUGAUUAAACAUGUCAAUUACCUGCUGUUAAUCUAAAAACAACAAUUUCAUUUAUAUAUCCGCUGUAUGAUAUAUGUGAUAGAUUUAUAUUAUCAAUAUAGUUUAAAACAUAGAAAGCAAUAUGACAAGAAGAUGUUAGGCUUCAAAACUGCAUAUUGAUCUGAGUUGUAAUUAAAUUAGAUACGAAAUAAUAUUUACACUUAAGCUUUGAAAUUAAAUGUCCCACAAUAGCUAAUUGCAAAUAUGCCCCAUUAAGGUGCAUCAAUACAAAAAGUUUUAAUCUCAAAAUAAGGUGUUUCUGUUAAACCCUAUUUUUUAAAUCAAAAAGCUAACUAUACAAGUUCAUGUUUUUAUUGUAAAAUUAAAAACAGUCUACGUAAUUCCGAACUAAUAGCUCUAGAAAGGUAAGGGUUUAAGUUAUACAUUACAGCUUAAAAUGUACAUAAUAAGAUAUGUUUAUUUUUACAACAAUUUGGUAUAAAAUGAAGCAAACCUUUCUAAGAACCUCAUCAAACAAAAAUAUGGAAUGUUUUUCACCAAUGUCUAGUUUGUCUGUGGCUCAUUCACCAAUCAACUCUAACAAAAAAACAAAAAAAAACAAAUGCGCAGCAUGAGGUUUAAGUGUUUUUUACAAUGCGUUAAGUCUAAGAAAUGCCCAAGAAACCGUUUUUCUAGCUGAACUAGGGAUUCACUGCCAAAAGACAGAUGGAACGUGAAUAAAGUGAAUUUUCAACAAUGUUAACAAUUUGAGCUCAAAGUCGCAGUUGGACUCUUUCCGGAAUACAUUUCAGCUAAGGGGUAGACAGGAGUUUCGAUACCCAGCUUAGUAAAAAUAAACGCAGUUCUAACAGAGAAGUUAUAAGUUGUUUUAUUGACCAAUAUUGUAACAUCUCCUUCAUCUGUGCCUAAAAUUUACCCAAUAGUACAAUGAUUUUUAUUUUUACUUUGUUACGACAUCUAAUCAUAUUGCAAUUGGUAAGUUAGCAAAAAAUGUCCAAAUGAUGAUUUGCUCCCUAGUGUAGAGAAAGAGAGAGCAGAUACCAAGGGUGCAUUUGAAAGUCCAAUGAAAACAGAUGAAGCCGUGGUCAAACAUUAUAACGACAAAAAGGACACACAACAAUAACUAAACACAACAAAGAAAACUUAAGACUGUGCAACACUAAUAGUUUUUUUGCGGAGGUUUUUACUUAUUCAAAUUGUAGGUAUGUCGAACGCUAGGCCACAAUUAAUGACAUAAUAUGAACAUUUAACAAGAAGGUAACUGCCACUGAAAUCAUUCCGAAUUUCCAUUUUCUUUAUUUGAAUGAGACGUGGUUUGAACGAUCAACCAUUAAAAUAUAUUAUGUUGCAUAACAAAUCAUGCACGAGUUUGAUUACUUUAUGUUAAUUAUAACAUUAUUCAUUAGAAUGAUUUAUUUUUUCUGAAUUAUAAUAUAUAUUCUUUUUUGAGCCUUUGGAUUAAAUCUUGUAUUUUUCUUCAUGAACACUGAACACUUUUAUUAUAUUUAUGUGUAGUUGUCGUUUGUCAUUUUACUUAAACAUAGUGUUCUGUGGAGAUGUGUCCCUUUAUCAUUCAGUAAAAUAAAGAUCGAUACAUUGUU
Long non-coding RNA from Mytilus californianus (California mussel), 2170 nucleotides. RefSeq lists it as uncharacterized. The record is from RefSeq and is a predicted model, not a curated record. Lineage: Eukaryota; Metazoa; Mollusca; Bivalvia; Mytilida; Mytilidae. The transcript has 6 exons.